CUGUGCAUUUAUAGACCAUUUCCCCUCUUUUGAUGUGCCUCCCACAGUGAUCUUCUACCCUGCCCCACGGCAAGAAGAGUUUGGUGAUUUUGCUGCUCUGCUCUCUCAAGGGUGUUGCAGGCUGCGUAGCAGGGAGUGAAGCCCUUGUCGCUGCUCAUCAGACACUUUCCUACAGAAUUCUCCCUGCAGUGAUAAAAUUAGACUGGUGUUAGUGAGCUGCCAAGUAGAGCAGGACAGCACGAAGACUGAACGUGUAAGAAGAUGUGGGGUGCAAUGGAGAACCUGGCAGGAGCAUCCGACGCACACGUGCACGAGUUUUGCUUUUUGCUUGGAUUGAAACUCAAAAGUUGUAAGGAAUUUGGGAAUGAGAUGGGACGUUUCAGAAGAAGAGGAAGGAGGAGAAGAAGUUGUUGUUACAGUCCUGGCAAAAUCCUUUGUUCUAGCUAAUAAAAGAAGUUA
Long non-coding RNA from Haemorhous mexicanus (house finch), 459 nucleotides. RefSeq lists it as uncharacterized. The record is from RefSeq and is a predicted model, not a curated record. The transcript is spliced from 2 exons. NCBI's taxonomy places the organism in Eukaryota, Metazoa, Chordata, Aves, Passeriformes, Fringillidae.